CAGUCGCCACGGUAAUACGAAGGGUGCAAGCGUUAAUCGGAAUUACUGGGCGUAAAGCGUGCGCAGGCGGUUCUAUAAGACAGAUGUGAAAUCCCCGGGCUCAACCUGGGAACUGCAUUUGUGACUGUAGAGCUGGAGUGCGGCAGAGGGGGAUGGAAUUCCGCGUGUAGCAGUGAAAUGCGUAGAUAUGCGGAGGAACACCGAUGGCGAAGGCAAUCCCCUGGGCCUGCACUGACGCUCAUGCACGAAAGCGUGGGGAGCAAACAGGAUUAGAUACCCGUGUAGUCCCUGUCUCUUAUAC
RNAcentral lists this ribosomal RNA (301 nucleotides) under uncultured bacterium. Its description in RNAcentral is "partial 16S ribosomal RNA". It matches the Rfam family "Bacterial small subunit ribosomal RNA", at positions 509 to 807 of the family's 1533-position model. The record is from RNAcentral.